Long non-coding RNA from Sycon ciliatum, 428 nucleotides. RefSeq lists it as uncharacterized. The record is from RefSeq and is a predicted model, not a curated record. NCBI's taxonomy places the organism in Eukaryota, Metazoa, Porifera, Calcarea, Leucosolenida, Sycettidae. The transcript has 6 exons.
UUGAAUAAUAAUCAACUUGUUCACCUACCUGACGGGCUGUUCAAAGCCACAACCAAAUUACAAGUACUGUAUUUGCAAAAUAAUAAUCUCCGCUAUCUUCCCGGUGGACUGCCUCAUGACACACCUGAAUUACGUGCACUAGGUUUGGGCGAAAAUCAACUUGUUCACCUACCUGCCGGGCUGUUCAAAGCCACAACCAAAUUAAACGAACUGGGUUUGACAAGUAAUCAACUUGUUCACCUUCCUGCCGGGCUGUUCAACGCCACAACCAAAUUACAAUACCUAUAUUUGUGGAAUACUACACUUGUUGACCUACCUGCCGGGCUGUUUGACGCGACAACCGAAUUGAGAUACCUAGGUUUGGACGAAAAUCAACUUGUUCACCUACCUGCCGGGCUGUUCAAAGCCACAACCAAAUUAAACGAACU